ACGAGGACAUGUUGUUAUGCAGCUCAUUGAAAUGUCAGCAGUGCAAAUAUAGCAUAUAGCUUGUGUAAUAAGAUACACUUUAUUUUUAUACAUAGAAUCAAGAUGGCUGACUUCCUGUUGCCGUCGGCGGUUUUGCUGAAGGUGGGAAGGUGAGGAUGAAAACGCAGUAGUGGCGUUGUUGUAUCUUACGACUGUUUGUUUUACUGACUGAGCAAGUAGAAGAAGGAAGAGAAGGCAGCGCUGUUAUGACUGGUCUGUCUGCUUUAUUCUGUGCGCCAAUCCCGAAACCAUCGCCGGAGACGGAUCACCAAAGGCGCUGGCAAAUCUCACGAGUUCCUGUUUCGCUGUGUGUCUGCUGCCGCGCACCCGGAUUUUCCACCACGAUGACGAAGAGGAACAGAUCAAAAGACGAAGGAACAAUUAGCGUUUUCCUGAUGGCAAGGUCAAAAAGAGGAGAGGAAGGACAGUUCCUUGGCCUGGGAUCGUCAACAAUCGAACAUUCUUCUAUGGUUUGUCACUGCAUAUCCAUGCAUCAGUGAGCAUUAGGAGGUCAAGAAAAAAAUUAGACGGAAAAAAUGCCCUGAAAAUAAAGAAAACAGACUUAAAGGAA
This 610-nucleotide long non-coding RNA is filed under the name Pomacea canaliculata. Its description in RNAcentral is "uncharacterized LOC112565909, transcript variant X3". The record is from RNAcentral. Lineage: Eukaryota; Metazoa; Mollusca; Gastropoda; Architaenioglossa; Ampullariidae.